UAAAGCAACGGAGAGAGAGAGAGUGGGUAAGGUUAAUGCAAAGUCACCACCACCCACUACGGCGGAGGAGAGAGAGAGAGAGAGAGAGAUACGAUUAGGAAAUGGAAUGAUGGUGGAAGCUCCGCCGUUAGAUUGGGCUGCUGCUGCCUUUUCUCUUGUGUUCGUCGUUUAAGUUAUGGUACACCGUACAUGAUCCCAAAGUUUUGUGUUCGUCGUUAAGGAAAUACUUCUAUUAAACCAAGGAAACCUGAGCAAAGCACACAAAAAACCAAAAGCAUAUAAAACACACUUCCAUUCUUUGAUUU
Molecule: long non-coding RNA, 305 nt
Filed under: Linum usitatissimum (flax)
Lineage: Eukaryota; Viridiplantae; Streptophyta; Magnoliopsida; Malpighiales; Linaceae
Description: long non-coding RNA (LUSI_LNC000955)
Source: RNAcentral